Molecule: ribosomal RNA, 274 nt
Filed under: uncultured archaeon
Lineage: Archaea
Description: partial 16S ribosomal RNA
Rfam family: Archaeal small subunit ribosomal RNA
Source: RNAcentral
AAACUUUACACUGCGGGAAACCGCGAUAAGGGGACCCCGAGUGCCAGCACCUAGUGUUGGCUGUCCUACUGUCUAAAUAACAGUGGUUAGCAAGGGCCGGGCAAGACCGGUGCCAGCCGCCGCGGUAAUACCCGCAGCCCAAGUGGUGAUCGUUAUUAUUGGGUUUAAAACGUCCGUAGCUGGUCUAGUAAAUUCCUGGGUAAAUCGAAUUGCUUAACAAUUCGAGUUCCGGGUAGACUGCUAGACUUGGGACCGGAAGAGGUCAGAAGUACUU